RNAcentral lists this long non-coding RNA (804 nucleotides) under Nicotiana benthamiana. RNAcentral's name for it is "long non-coding RNA (NBEN_LNC002585)". The record is from RNAcentral. Lineage: Eukaryota; Viridiplantae; Streptophyta; Magnoliopsida; Solanales; Solanaceae.
AGAAACCAAAGAAAAUGAAAGAGAACAAAAAAUAAAGGAAAUAUUUAUACUAACAGUUUGUGAAAAUCUACAGUGAACCCUUGCAUUAAAGUUUUCAAGUUGCACCCUUAGAGAGAAAGAUUGCAGCUUUUGCAUUCAAAAUGCCGUAAAAAUAAGCAAUUCUUGAAUUAGGGGGUUGAAGAGAAGAGGAUAAAGACAUCCUUUGUCAGCAAAAUUGCAGCCGGUGAAAGAAUUCCAUAUAAAAAGGGAUAAGAUUUAAACAGCUUUGAGGUAAAGUCUGCUGAUUACCCUUUUCGUUUUUUGUUUAAUUAUGCUUAAAUGUUUUCUGGUCUUGAAUUUGUUGAUUAGGGAAGAGUAAAUAGGACCUCAAAUUCUUCAUUAUCAAUCUCGUUUGUUAUAGUUAGUAAAUUACUCAGGAAUAGGUCUUUUUGGUGUUUUGUUUCUUUCUACCAGUUUUUGUUCUGCUAAGGUCUUUAUAUGCUAAUUGCUUUUUGACUUAAACUAGUCCGAUGCAAGGAAUCCCGCAUUCACACGCAGUGGAGAAGCCUUCGCCACAUGGGCAUAAGGGGAAUUGUCCACCCUUUGUCAAAAAAUUACAAGGUGUAUAUAUAUAAAAUAUUGCAUUUUAGAGGUAUAUAAUAAAAAUUAAACACCCUUUGUCUGAAUUUUUUUACUUUUUUAGCAAAAUUCCUAGCUUCGCCACUGUUUACCCGGUGUCUACCCUAAAUGCUAAUUGCUUUUUGACUUGAUAAGAAUAAAAUUGACAUUUUUAUUCUUAUUCUAUGUGAAACUUUGGAACUCAAC